Molecule: long non-coding RNA, 1530 nt
Organism: Hyla sarda
Lineage: Eukaryota; Metazoa; Chordata; Amphibia; Anura; Hylidae
Exons: 3
Source: RefSeq, a predicted model, not a curated record
ACUGCGUAAUCUAGAACUGAUGUGUAAUGUUCUCUGUGUAAUCUAGAACUGACAUGUAAUGUUCUCUGUGUAAUCUAGAACUGACAUAAUGUUAUCUGGGUAUUCUAGAACUGACAUGAAUGGACCAUGUGUACUCUAGAACUGACAUAAUGUUAUCUGUGUAUUCUAGAACUGACAUGAAUGGACUGCGUAAUCUAGAACUGGUGUGUAAUGUUCUCUGUGUAAUCUAGAACUGAUAUGUAAUGUUCUCUGCCUAAUCUAGAACUGAUUGUAUUGUCCUCGGUGUAAUCUAGAACUGAUGUGAAUGGACUGUGUGUUAUCUAGAACUGACAUGUAGUGGACUAUGUGUAAUCUAGAACUGACAUGUAAUGGACUAUGUGUAAUCUAGAACUAACUGUAAUGGACUCUGUGUAAUCUAGAACAGAUGUACAAUGAACUUGGUGACAUCCAGAACUGUAGGAACAUAAUACGGAAGUUCAGGGCAGAGAAAUUCCACGGCACGUGGACUAUUCCGCAGUGUGAACGUAGCCUUAGGCUGGGAAUACACCUUGCAAAGAAAUGCUGCAGAUUUUCUGCACUUGAAGGUAUAUGGCCACUUUGUCAACAGGCUCGUAGAAGUUGUUCCUCUAUGGAUCGGGCAUUGAUGGUGUAUCGUAGAGACAAUGACGUGAACAGGAUGACCCACGAGGCAGCAUACACAGCAUAAUCCUACAAACCAAUGAGAACGUACUGGCUGAAUUUGGAUGUUAUACAAUCACUUAGAGGUUGUUCCUAGCAGACAACGCUGCUUUGUGAAGCUCAAUGCAAAACUACUGACUCGGAUUUAAAAGGAGGAAAAAAAAGGAAAACGUAAGACGCGGCGAUAAUUCAGCUCCAUCACAUUCAUUUACAUCUCGUAACUUGUGAUAAUUAGAUGUCUCUGUCACAUUUCUGUGAAUUUAUGUAUUUCUCUGUUAGGCCAUGUUCACACGGUAGGAAAAUGUGCGCAAUGUCCGCCCGGAAAACACGUGCGUACAUUCUGCACAUUUGCCCGAUCCGGCGGGCACCAGGACCAAUCGGAAAUGCCCCCGGCAAUUUAUUUCCAAGCGAAAUCCGUAGAAAGAAUAGACGCCGGUAUCGGGAGAUUCCACAGUGUGAAGAGUGCAGCAGAAUCCCAUUAAAAUCAAUGGGAUUCUGCAGCAGCGGAAUGUCCAUGUGGAAAAUUCCGGCAGAAUUCCGCACGAAUAUUCCGCCGUGUGAACAUACCCAAAGUGUCCUUGUUCUUGGAGUGUGUCAGCCGUUCCUGCAAGAGGAAGACAUUGAUGCUAUGGACUGGCCGCCCGUUCCCCUGAAUCCAAUUGAGCACAUCUGGGACGUCUCGCUCCAUCCACUACAGACUGUCCAGGAGUUGGCGGAUGCUUUAGUCCAGGUCUGGGAGGACAUCCCUCAGGAGACUAUCCUCCACCUCAUCAGGAGCAUGCCCAGGUGUUGUAGGGAGGUCAUACGGGCACGUGGAGGCCACACACACUACUGAGCCUCAUUGUGACUUGU